ACCAUUCGCAAGAGAAACCCAUUUUUCUCUUCUCCUUUCUCUUUUUUUCUUCUUCUUCUUCUUCUUCCUCUUCUCCGUUUUCUUCUCUGUUCUUUUUCUGUAAAAAUCGAGGGAUGAUUUUGAGAGCACGUUUGAGAGUUAUUUAUUGAUGAAUCUAUUCUAAUGGUGAAGGAGGUGUUUUCGAUGUGAUUUAAGAAUGAAAAGAUUUAGUGUUGGGAUUUUGAGACGAAUCAUGGAGAAGUAGAGUUAGGGUUUAUGUGAUUUGGUGAAGGUUUGAUUUGAGGUAACUAAAGAUGGGUUUGUUGAUUUAAUUGAUUAUCUUAUGAGGUUUUGAUGUAAACUGAAGAGUUAGGGUUUCUCUGAUAAUCGAUGAAGAUAAAGACGAUUAUGAUACUCAAAUCGAGAUAGAAGAAGAAUAGGGUUAGCUUUAGUUGGUGGUGGUGGUGUUGAUUCAAGCGGCUGAUACAGAACAUGCAGAGAAGGUAAUUUGAGAAUUAAAAUUUGGGUUUCUGUAUUUUGAGUUCGAGAUUUAAUUAAGGGUGAGUAAGAAGGAAUUACAGGAGGGGUUUGCUAGAUUAGAAGACUUUAAUUCAUGUUUUGAGUUUGAGUUAUAAAAUAAAAGAUUUGGGAAUUGAAUUAGAAUUUGAUUGAGAACUGUUAGUGAUGGUGGAAGUGUGUUUGUGUUGAAUGAACUGAACUUGUGGUUUGUUGAUGUGCAAGAUGAGUUUUGAAUCAAGCUAAAGCAAGAAGAAUAGUCAAUUGAUUAAGAGAAGCUGUUUUGAGGUGGAGAAGUGAUAUUGUUACUUAGUAUAUUGAUUGGAGUUAUAGAUGGGUGUUUAGGAUGGUAUAGGGGGAAUGAAUAUUUCAGUGUUAAAAUAGUAAUUCUAUGUGGUUUUGGUUUGGUGAAGUGCAGAGUUUGGAAUUGAUAGUGAGAAAAUAGAAUGGUGGCCUUGUGUUGUUAAAGUUGUUGCUAAAAGAGUUUGGUUACAUGGAGUUGUAUUUAAGAAUUUGAAUGUUAGAUUUUGAUAAAGAUGUUAAGUGGUGGCUGUGUAUGUUGGUGUUGUCUGGAAAUGGAGCCUCAGGCGAUGAACAUGAAGAAGCUGAUAGUGCUGUGUGUAUUGUGAAGUUUGUAUAGAAUGAAGCUGUUUUGGAUGAUUGAUUGUGGUGUGAGAUUGCAGGCGGUAUUGAACUGGUGGUGCUGGAGUGGUUAAGAUAGAUAUAAUGAUGUUGCUUUAGAGUGGUCAUGAGAGUUGUAUUGUAGUAAUUUAUAGAACGAAUGGUUUCUGAAGUUUCAGUCCAUGAAGAAUGGCGAAUCAGAGUAGUAGAUUGUUUUUGCUGUAGAAGCUUUGAACUGCAGUUGCAGGUAAACUAAGCUUGUGUUUGUAUUUUAUUUUGAAGUAUUGUUGGAUUCGAUGUACUGUCUUGAUGUUGUAAUUAGUCUAGUAGAAUUGAAUGAUAAAAGGAAGAAGACGUAGGAAAUGAAACUGCAAUUGAACUUA
This is a long non-coding RNA of Papaver somniferum (opium poppy), 1499 nucleotides long. RefSeq lists it as uncharacterized. The record is from RefSeq and is a predicted model, not a curated record. NCBI's taxonomy places the organism in Eukaryota, Viridiplantae, Streptophyta, Magnoliopsida, Ranunculales, Papaveraceae. The transcript is spliced from 2 exons.